UACGGAGGGUGCGAGCGUUAAUCGGAAUUACUGGGCGUAAAGCGUGCGCAGGCGGUCUUGCAAGACAGAGGUGAAAUCCCCGAGCUUAACCUGGGAACUGCAUUUGAAACUGGUAGGCUAGAGUAUGGGAGAGGGGGAUAGAAUUCCGUGUGUAGCAGUGAAAUGCGUAGAGAUGCGGAGGAAUACCGAUGGCGAAGGCAACCCCCUGGAC
This 211-nucleotide ribosomal RNA is filed under the name uncultured bacterium. Its description in RNAcentral is "partial 16S ribosomal RNA". It matches the Rfam family "Bacterial small subunit ribosomal RNA", at positions 524 to 734 of the family's 1533-position model. The record is from RNAcentral.